RNAcentral lists this ribosomal RNA (532 nucleotides) under uncultured fungus. RNAcentral's name for it is "eukaryotic LSU rRNA". The stretch from base 163 to 316 matches the Rfam family "5.8S ribosomal RNA". Lineage: Eukaryota; Fungi. The record is from RNAcentral.
UCCGUAGGUGAACCUGCGGAGGGAUCAUUACUGAGUUUUACUCUAAAACCCGCGAACCUACCUCUAUAGCUUCGGCGACCUGCCCCGGGGGGCGUUCUACGGUCGCCGAAAGCCCAUCAGAACUCUUUUACAGGCUCUCUGAGUAAACCAUUAAAUGCUAAAAACCUUCAACAACGGAUCUCUUGGUUCUGGCAUCGAUGAAGAACGCAGCGAAAUGCGAUACGUAAUGUGAAUUGCAGAAUUCCGCGAAUCAUCGAAUCUUUGAACGCACAUUGCACCCGGUGGUAUUCCGCCGGGUAUGCCUGUCUGAGCGUCAUUUUUACCCUCGAGCACUGCUCGGUGUUGGCGGAUUGCCUAGCAACCGCUGAAAAUCAACGGCGGUGACCCCUAUGUCCCUGUAUAGUAUUAUUCUUACAGUGGUUAUAGCGGUCUAUCAGUCUCCUGUGCGCCGUAACAAGCGCUACACUUUGAAACUCGACCUCAGAUCAGGUAGGAAUACCCGCUGAACUUAAGCAUAUCAAUAAGCGGAGGA